UACGUAGGGUGCGAGCGUUGUCCGGAAUUAUUGGGCGUAAAGAGCUCGUAGGCGGUCUGUCGCGUCGGUCGUGAAAACUUGGGGCUUAACCCUGAGCUUGCGGUCGAUACGGGCAUGACUGGAGUUCGGCAGGGGAGACUGGAAUUCCUGGUGUAGCGGUGAAAUGCGCAGAUAUCAGGAGGAACACCGAUGGCGAAGGCAGGUCUCUGGGCAUUAACUGACGCUGAGGAGCGAAAGUGUGGGGAGCGAACAGG
This 254-nucleotide ribosomal RNA is filed under the name uncultured bacterium. RNAcentral's name for it is "partial 16S ribosomal RNA". It matches the Rfam family "Bacterial small subunit ribosomal RNA", at positions 524 to 776 of the family's 1533-position model. The record is from RNAcentral.